CCAAUAGCGUAUAUUAAAGUUGUUGCAGUUAAAAAGCUCGUAGUUGAACUUCGGGAUCAAUGGAUCGGUCAUGCCCUCGGUAUGUACUGGUCUCGUUGGUUCUCACCUUCUAAGGAACCAUGAUGUCAUUCAUUUGAUGUUAUGGGAAAUUAGGACUGUUACCUUGAAAAAAUUCGAGUGUUUAAAGCAGGCUUACGCUUGAAUACAUUAGCAUGGAAUAAUGAAAUAGGACAUCGCAUUCUAUUUUGUUGGUUUCUAGGAUCGAUGUAAUGAUUAAUAGGGAUAGUUGGGGGCAUUAGUAGUAAAUUGUCAGAGGUGAAAUUAUUGGAUUUAUUGAAGACUAACUACUGCGAAAGCAUUUGCCAAGGAUGUUUUCAUUAAUAAAGAACGAAAGUUAGGGGAUCGAAGACGAUCAGAUACCGUCGUAGUCUUAACCAUAAACUAUGCCGACUAGGGAUCGGAUGAUGUUGAUUUUAUAAUGACUCAUUCGGCACCUUACG
Molecule: ribosomal RNA, 500 nt
Filed under: uncultured Glomeromycotina
Lineage: Eukaryota; Fungi; Glomeromycota
Description: partial small subunit ribosomal RNA
Rfam family: Eukaryotic small subunit ribosomal RNA
Source: RNAcentral